RNAcentral lists this ribosomal RNA (252 nucleotides) under uncultured Bacteroidales bacterium. RNAcentral describes it as "partial 16S ribosomal RNA". It matches the Rfam family "Bacterial small subunit ribosomal RNA", at positions 524 to 776 of the family's 1533-position model. Lineage: Bacteria; Pseudomonadati; Bacteroidota; Bacteroidia; Bacteroidales. The record is from RNAcentral.
UACGUAGGGGGCGAGCGUUAUCCGGAUUCAUUGGGCGUAAAGCGCGCGUAGGCGGCCGCCUAAGCGGGACCUCUAACCCCGGGGCUCAACCCCGGCCCGCCGUUGAAACUGGCAGUCUCGAGUUGGAGAGAAGUAUGCGGAAUGCGCGGUGUAGCGGUGAAAUGCAUAGAUAUCGCGCAGAACUCCGAUUGCGAAGGCAGCAUGCCGGCUCCACACUGACGCUGAGGCACGAAAGCGUGGGUAUCGAACAGG